UAUUGCACAAUGGGGGAAACCCUGAUGCAGCGACGCCGCGUGAGUGAAGAAGCGUUUCGGCGCGUAAAGCUCUGUCAGCGGGGAAGAAACACGGUUCGCGAGAGCCGCGGACGGUACCCGACCAAGAAGCCCCGGCUAACUACGUGCCAGCAGCCGCGGUAAUACGUAGGGGGCAAGCGUUAUCCGGAUUUACUGGGUGUAAAGGGAGCGUAGACGGCCAGACAAGUCAGAAGUGAAAGCCCAGGGCUCAACCCUGGGACUGCUUUUGAAACUGCCGGGCUGGAGUGCAGGAGAGGUAAGCGGAAUUCCUAGUGUAGCGGUGAAAUGCGUAGAUAUUAGGAGGAACACCAGUGGCGAAGGCGGCUUACUGGACUGUAACUGACGUUGAGGCUCGAAAGCGUGGGGAGCAAACAGG
Molecule: ribosomal RNA, 415 nt
Filed under: uncultured bacterium
Lineage: Bacteria
Description: bacterial SSU rRNA
Rfam family: Bacterial small subunit ribosomal RNA
Source: RNAcentral